CUAGUGGCUGGCUAGAUAACAGAACGCAGAACGAACAGAAGUAUGAUAUAUGCUCAGUUAGGGGCUGAAUAACCAUUGUAUUAAAAAAAAAAUCAAUUGCACCAACGAUGUAGCGAACACAUUGUGACGCGGUCAGAGUGUUGUGUUGCACUUUACAAUUUACACCCACCACCUAAAGAAGAGAAGCACCUGAGGAAAUGGAUGACUGCGAUAAAUUUGAAGCGCCCACCCAAGCGCUCUUAUGUGUGUUCGUACCAUUUCAUGGACGGGAAGGCGACUGACGAACACUUUUACCCCGAGAAAUGGCUCGACUACGAUGUUCCGUUAAAGAGGACACGCCGGGGGAUGAAAAGGUUGUCAGAUUCGGAAGACCAUCAGAUCAACUGGGAGGAGGAGUUCGUGGAGUAGAUGGGAUGGCUUUGUAAAUUAUGCAGUGCUGUUGUACCAGCAAAGACUGAUAUUCUGAAACAUUAUAGACUGCAUCAUGGGACCUUUGGACAUAGCCAUGCCUUGCCUUGUAUACAUAUGGACUGCCCAUGCUCUUUUAAAAAUUGGAGUAGCUUCCGCUGUCACUUAUCACGACAACAUCCAGCUGUUGACUCACUUAACUCACCUCAAGUAACUCUUUUCUUUACCUGCCUAUUAUGUAAAAAAUCUGGAUUCCCUAGCGAAAAGGAGUUUUUUGAAUACAUCGGUCAUCAUCUGAAGAAUAAUGAGAUUGUAGAGCGUUUUUGCAGGGACCGAUCACCAAACAAAUGUGUAUGGGACUUUUGGGACACACAAACACAGGAAGCAUACGCCACAUACUUCACAAGAUUUCAAACCAGGCAUUAUUUGUGAAAGGCAGUUAACUGAACAGGAGGAAUCACUUGUUUUUGAAGCCUCUGAAGAGGAUGAUGAUCACAAUGAUGCCAGUUAUCAAGUCUCUCGCUCACAUGCUCACUAUGAAGAGGAUGAUGGAAGCAAUGUGGUUGUAGAGUACACAGCAUCCCUCCUUUUGAAAUUAGAAAGUGUUCAUAAUGUUUCAAUUCGGCGCAUUGAUGAACUUCUAGAUGAUCUUCACUUCAUAGCAAGUUCUGCAUCCAUAACUGCAAUAAGAGAUAUUGUUGUUUCACACUUUAAAAAAAAAAAAAUUGUUCUAUUGCUGACACUGACACGUUUGUAACAUCUCUAGUGGAUGAAUUGUGCAAAUAAAUCCACUCUAAGCACAGCACUUAGUGCUGGAGUUCCUCUUUCAUCAUCAUUUAGAAGGCGACAGUAUUAUAAAGAAAUAUUUGCAGUUGUUGAGCCCGUUGAAUACAUCCUUGAACCAAAUGAAAAGAGAAGUUUCCAGUACAUUCCAAUUCUCCAGUCCUUAGUUCAGAUUUUGGGUAAAGAAAAUCUUCGAGAAAAAGUUCUGAGUAAAGAACAGGACCAGUUGUCAUUUAUUCAAUAUGGAUCAUAUCGUGAUGGUACAGUCUAUAAAGAGAAUCCCUUUUAUUCUGAAGAGCUAAGAAUUGCACUUGUGCUGUAUGUAGAUGACUUUGAAAUCUGUAACCCACUGGGAACAUGAAGAAAAAAGCAUAAAAUCACAGCUAUAUACUGGGACUUUGGCAACAUCCCUCAUUCAUCGCGAUCCACUCUUAACUCCAUAUACUUGGCCCUUUUACGCCAAGCAGUUGACAUCAAAAGAUUUGGCUAAGCUGAAGUGCUUGCUCCUUUGUUAAAAGACAUUGCUAUUUUGAAGAGUGACGGUGUCUACAUUUCAAGUGUUGGACAACAUGUUAAAGGCUCUGUGUUUUCUGUAGUCGCUGAUAAUCUUGGGACACAUUCAAUUUGUGGACUUGUGGAAAAUUUUUGUGGACCAUUCAUUUGUAGAUUUUGUCUUGGAGAGCGAUCAGAAUUACAAAGAAAGGAGGUGAGGUCAGGUGCAUUUCCUGCUCGGACUAAAGAGAAUCAUGCCACUCAUUUAUUGACUGUUAAAGAAAAUCCUGCUUUGACACACUGUUACGGUGUAAAAAAUGCUUGCCCACUUACUGAAAAUCUGAGCCAUUUCCACUGUGUGACUGGCUAUCCACCCGAUAUAUUGCACAACACUUUUGAAGGCAUCGUUCCCUUGGAAUUGGGUCUGUGCUUCAGUGUUUUUAUCUCAAAGAAAUAUUUCACUUUAAAUGAACUUAACAGUGCCAUCACACAAUUUCCGUAUAAAUGGGCUGACAAAACUGAUUGUCCUCAGCCAUUGCCUACAACCUUUUCCUCAAAAAAGAAGAUUGGAGGAAAUGCACAUGAAAAUUGGGCCCUCAUACGACUGCUGCCAUUCAUUAUUGGACACAGAAUACCUUUGAAUGAUCCAGCCUGGCUUCUACUCAUGUCUUUAAAAGACACUAUUGAACUUGUCGUUGCCCCAGUCCUCAACAAAGAAAGUGUUGCUUAUCUUGACUCAAAAAUUUCUGAACACCGACACAGAUUCCAAGAAGUAUUUCCUAAUGAAGGGUUAAUCCCAAAGCACCACUUCUUAGAACACUAUCCUGCAUUAAUAAAUGCUUUUGGACCUGUGAUUGCUUUCUGGACAAUGAGGUUUGAAGCGAAACACAGCCAAUUUAAGCAGAUUGUGAGACAUAUUGGCAACUUCAAGAACAUUCUCCUUUCUCUGGCCACAAAGCAUCCGCUUUUAUAAGUCACCACCUGCAUUCCACAACAGCUGUGCCUGCUCUGAGUGUUGUAAGAGUCACAUCAGUGCCAUUAGAUGUCCUGCAUAUAAAUGUUCAGGAAUCAAUCAAGCAUCUGUUUCCUUGUCAGUCUCAAGUACAGCUGGCUGAUACAGUCACCUUCCAUGGAACAAGGUACUCAAAAGGCAUGAUCGUGGCCUAUGGUUGUACUGCUGGUCUUCCUGAUUUUUCAGAGAUUCUUCAAAUUGCCCUUUUUGAGGAAAAGGUGCAUUUUAUUGUGAAAACACUCAUGCCCUGGUAUAAUGAGUACUAUCGUGGAUUUCAUCUUGAAAAGACCGAUCACAUAACUCUUGUUGAACAACAAAACCUUAAUGAUGUUUGUCCCCUGUCAGCCUAUAUUGUUGCAGGAAAGCUCAUGGUGACAUUAAAGCACCACAUCUGUCUCCAGUGUUGAGUAUGACUUUGUAUAACAUAUUUGUUUCUUAGUCUUUCGAGACAUGGAACCAACAGUCAGAUUCCGGGUCCUCAUUGAUCACGAGAUCAAAAAACUUACACUCAACAGUGGCAUACCCUCAACUGUGGAUGAAUUGGUUGCAGCCAUCAAAGAACAAUUUGCCAUCACCACAGAAAUCAGUCUUCAGUACAAAGAUGAAGAGUUUGAUGACUUUUUCACCCAAACGACCACAAAGGAACUCAAAGAUAAAGACACACUGAAAGUAGUGUAUGUACCGCUAAACAUAGCACUGAGCCUUGUUCCCCAGGAAAGCACCCCUGAUACCUCCAGUGUGUACUCUUUAUCCGAGUCUGUGACACACUCUGACGGCUCAGAUGAUACUGUGAUUCUGUCUCCUUCACCCUCUGAAAGGCAAAAUCCAUGGCCUGCUGUAUUUCCCAUUCCAACUUUCUCACACAACACUGAGCUGGCUUUGAGUCAAGGUAAUGAGAUUUAUUUAAGCGAUGGUACCCUACUGACAUCACCCAGUGUCAAAGCGUAUCUUGAGCGCCUGGCAGAGGCCAUGUUUUGCUACACAGCGUACCCAAAUGAUGCCCAGAGGUGUGCAGUAGCACAGGCACUAAUAGAAAAGCAUCCCUGUUUGAAGGAGCCUGGCUCUUUUAAUGGAAUAUAUGGGAGGCAACAAAGGCUGAAAUGCAAAUGUGGGAACUAUCGUACCAAACGUAAAGCAUUGGGAAGCCCUGAACUCCUGAUAAACUCAAUGAAAUACAAGAUGGGAGAUGACAGAAAACCUGCUAAAAACAUCAAGAAACCAAAGAGGGCAGAAGUAAAUUACCUGCCUCAGCACCCUUCUGGUGAAACAGACAGCAGCCUUGAGAAUGUGAGGCUUGACCAGAUAAUCAGAUAAUCUGUGUAUAAAUCAAGCUCCUCUGGCUCCUCCCAGUGUCCUAUUGCCAUUUGCAGAAACUCCAUCGCUCCCGGUAAGAAACAACCAAUCAGAGCUGCGGUCCGUAACUUUGUUUGUGUUCAAAAUGUAAAAAAAUGUAUAUAAUAAGCGAGUACACCAUGAAUUCAUUUUCCAAACCGUGUUUUUAGCUUGUCCUGAAUCACUAGGGUGCACCUAUAAUAAGUGUUUAUAUUCGGACUAUUUUAGAUUUCUUCGGGGAUACCGCGGCGGAGUAACCCAGUACCUUUGUGAUUCUUCAUAGACAUAAACAGAGAGAAGUAGUUCCGGCUACGAUGUUCUUCCGCAAGACGCAAGCAGUUCUGUUCAUUAACCGCUAGAGCGUCAAAAGUUCCCUACCGCAGCUUUAACCACGCCAAUGUGUUACCAGCUGAACCCCUCUCCCCUUUAAGGAUUUAGGCCUUGGAGGUGACUUGUGUAUGUGAUGUAGUCUAGCAGGUUUGUUGUGUCAAGUAAGACUGUACUGAAAAGCCGCGUUUCCACCGAAAUUACCCGGAACAUUUGUACCAGGAACUCCCCACCCCCCCCAGACCUGUUGCUUUCUGCGUUUCCACCGCGGUGUAAAGUACCAGGAAGAUUAGUCAAAUAGACAGGUGACGUAGGUCUGCGCGCGUCUCUCAAUACAAAGUACCGCUGAUUAAAAAAAAUAAAAUAAAAAAAAUAAUAAUAAUUACGCCGAUUUUGGACGUGCAUCAUCGGUAGUUAGUUCAGACUUUGUGCAUUCGACUGGGGAGUGUGAUGUCAGCGACGACGCGAAUCCUGCAUAUUUCCUCUCUGUAUAUUUACAAUAAAACGAAAUAGGAUAUGAAAUACCACUGCCUCCUUUCGUUUUCAUUUAAACAUAAUAACAGCUGCAGAAAUGUACUUAGUUCAGGGAUAUGUGUAUAUACAGCCAUUACAAUGAAAUGAAAUAUUAUAUAAAUUUGCCUUUUUUAUUUUCAUUUUAACAUAUAGAUAAAUUGAAUACAGACCAAAGAAACCUGUUAGAUUUACC
Carassius gibelio (silver crucian carp) is the source of this 5060-nucleotide long non-coding RNA. RefSeq lists it as uncharacterized. The transcript has 3 exons. NCBI's taxonomy places the organism in Eukaryota, Metazoa, Chordata, Actinopteri, Cypriniformes, Cyprinidae. The record is from RefSeq and is a predicted model, not a curated record.